Molecule: ribosomal RNA, 1347 nt
Filed under: uncultured bacterium
Lineage: Bacteria
Description: bacterial SSU rRNA
Rfam family: Bacterial small subunit ribosomal RNA
Source: RNAcentral
GAUGAACGCUGGCGGCGUGCUUAACACAUGCAAGUCGAACGAAGCACUUUAAUCGAUUUCUUCGGAUCGAAAUUUUAGUGACUGAGUGGCGGACGGGUGAGUAACGCGUGGGUAACCUGCCUCACACAGGGGGAUAACAGUUGGAAACGGCUGCUAAUACCGCAUAAGCGCACAGUACCGCAUGGUACGGUGUGAAAAACUCCGGUGGUGUGAGAUGGACCCGCGUCUGAUUAGCUAGUUGGCAGGGCAGCGGCCUACCAAGGCGACGAUCAGUAGCCGACCUGAGAGGGUGACCGGCCACAUUGGGACUGAGACACGGCCCAAACUCCUACGGGAGGCAGCAGUGGGGAAUAUUGCACAAUGGGGGAAACCCUGAUGCAGCGACGCCGCGUGAGCGAAGAAGUAUUUCGGUAUGUAAAGCUCUAUCAGCAGGGAAGAAGAAAUGACGGUACCUGACUAAGAAGCACCGGCUAAAUACGUGCCAGCAGCCGCGGUAAUACGUAUGGUGCAAGCGUUAUCCGGAUUUACUGGGUGUAAAGGGAGCGCAGGCGGAAGGCUAAGUCUGAUGUGAAAGCCCGGGGCUCAACCCCGGUACUGCAUUGGAAACUGGUCAUCUAGAGUGUCGGAGGGGUAGGCGGAAUUCCCGGUGUAGCGGUGGAAUGCGUAGAUAUCGGGAGGAACACCAGUGGCGAAGGCGGCCUACUGGGCACCAACUGACGCUGAGGCUCGAAAGUGUGGGUAGCAAACAGGAUUAGAUACCCUGGUAGUCCACACUGUAAACGAUGAUUACUAGGUGUUGGAGGAUUGACCCCUUCAGUGCCGCAGUUAACACAAUAAGUAAUCCACCUGGGGAGUACGACCGCAAGGUUGAAACUCAAAGGAAUUGACGGGGGCCCGCACAAGCAGUGGAGUAUGUGGUUUAAUUCGACGCAACGCGAAGAACCUUACCAAGUCUUGACAUCCCUUGACGAUGCUGGAAACAGUAUUUCUCUUCGGAGCAAGGAGACAGGUGGUGCAUGGUUGUCGUCAGCUCGUGUCGUGAGAUGUUGGGUUAAGUCCCGCAACGAGCGCAACCCUUAUGGUCAGUUACUACGCAAGAGGACUCUGGCCAGACUGCCGUUGACAAAACGGAGGAAGGUGGGGAUGACGUCAAAUCAUCAUGCCCUUUAUGACUUGGGCUACACACGUACUACAAUGGCGUUAAACAAAGAGAAGCAAGACCGCGAGGUGGAGCAAAACUCAGAAACAACGUCCCAGUUCGGACUGCAGGCUGCAACUCGCCUGCACGAAGUCGGAAUUGCUAGUAAUCGCAGAUCAGCAUGCUGCGGUGAAUACGUUCCCGGGCCU